AGUGAACGCUGGCGGUAGGCCUAACACAUGCAAGUCGAACGGCAGCACAGUAAUAGCUUGCUCUUACGGGUGGCGAGUGGCGGACGGGUGAGGAAUACAUCGGAAUCUACUUUUUCGUGGGGGAUAACGUAGGUAAACUUACUCUAAUACCGCAUACGACCUACGGUUGAAAGCAGUGGAUCUUCUGACCUUGCGCGAUUGAAUGCGCCGCUUUCGGAUUAGCCAGUUGGCGGGGUAAAGGCCCACCCAGGCGACGAUCCGUAGCUGGUCUGAGAGGGUGAACAGCCACACAGGAACUGAGACACGGUACAGACUCCUACGGGAGGCAGCAGUGGGGAAGAGUGGACAAUGGGCGCAAGACUGAACCAGCCAUAGCGCGUGGGUGAAGAAGGCCUGCGGGUUGUAAAGCCCUUUUGUUGGGAAAGAAAAGCAGCAGGUUAAUACCACGCUGUUCUGACGGUACCCAAGAAUAAGCACCGGCUAACUUCGUG
Molecule: ribosomal RNA, 491 nt
Filed under: uncultured bacterium
Lineage: Bacteria
Description: partial 16S ribosomal RNA
Rfam family: Bacterial small subunit ribosomal RNA
Source: RNAcentral